RNAcentral lists this ribosomal RNA (869 nucleotides) under Neofusicoccum yunnanense. Its description in RNAcentral is "partial 28S large subunit ribosomal RNA". It matches the Rfam family "Eukaryotic large subunit ribosomal RNA", at positions 65 to 952 of the family's 3401-position model. The record is from RNAcentral. Lineage: Eukaryota; Fungi; Ascomycota; Dothideomycetes; Botryosphaeriales; Botryosphaeriaceae.
CCAACAGGGAUUGCCUUAGUAACGGCGAGUGAAGCGGCAAUAGCUCAAAUUUGAAAGCUGGCCCCUUCGGGGUCCGCGUUGUAAUUUGUAGAGGAUGAUUCGGCGAGGGCUCCCGUCUAAGUCCCUUGGAACAGGGCGUCAUAGAGGGUGAGAAUCCCGUAUGUGAUGGGCUGCCUUAGCCAUGUGAAUCUCCUUCGACGAGUCGAGUUGUUUGGGAAUGCAGCUCUAAAUGGGAGGUAAAUUUCUUCUAAAGCUAAAUACCGGCCAGAGACCGAUAGCGCACAAGUAGAGUGAUCGAAAGAUGAAAAGCACUUUGGAAAGAGAGUUAAAAAGUACGUGAAAUUGUUGAAAGGGAAGCGCUUGCAGCCAGACUUGUCCGCAGUUGCUCAGCUUGUCUCCUGACAGGCGUACUCUUCUGCGGCCAGGCCAGCAUCAGUUCGGGCGGUCGGAUAAAGACCUGGGGAAUGUAGCUCCUCUCGGGGAGUGUUAUAGCCCUGGGUGCAAUGCGGCCAGCCUGGACUGAGGAUCUCGCUUCGGCUAGGAUGCUGGCGUAAUGGCUGUAAGCGGCCCGUCUUGAAACACGGACCAAGGAGUCUAACAUCUAUGCGAGUGUUUGGGUGUCAAACCCAUGCGCGUAAUGAAAGUGAACGGAGGUGGGAACCCUCACGGGUGCACCAUCGACCGAUCCUGAUGUCUUCGGAUGGAUUUGAGUAAGAGCAUAGCUGUUGGGACCCGAAAGAUGGUGAACUAUGCCUGAAUAGGGUGAAGCCAGAGGAAACUCUGGUGGAGGCUCGCAGCGGUUCUGACGUGCAAAUCGAUCGUCAAAUUUGGGUAUAGGGGCGAAAGACUAAUCGAACCAUCUAGUAGCU